Molecule: RNA transcript, 5695 nt
Organism: Synchiropus splendidus (mandarinfish)
Lineage: Eukaryota; Metazoa; Chordata; Actinopteri; Syngnathiformes; Callionymidae
Gene name: dual specificity calcium/calmodulin-dependent 3',5'-cyclic nucleotide phosphodiesterase 1B-like
Exons: 11
Source: RefSeq, a predicted model, not a curated record
ACACAAGUUUGCCUUGGUGGCUUGGAACUUUUCUUCCGACUUCUGCUUCUGAAUUAUUUUGCAUCCUCUUGCAUUUUUUCCAAAAAACAAAACAAAAACUCCCUGUAAAGACUUGAGUGUGGAAUGGCUGAAUUGUUGAGAAUUCGUAAGAAACGUCUGCAGAUACCCAUCUCUAGGCUGAGGAGCAUGCUGAAGCAGCUGGAGGAGAGGGAAGUGGAUUUUGAAGACAUCAAAAGGAAUCUGGACAUGACAGCAUCCUUGCUGGAGGCGGUGUACCUCGACGGAACCAGACAGAGUCUGGAGUCGGAGGAUGACCUUCAGCAGCUGCAGUCGGACGGCGUCCCUUCUGAGGUCACCGAUUGGCUGGCUUCAACGUUUACACACAGAGCUCGCCGACCGCCACGACGUCCUGAUGACAAGCCCAAGUUCCGUAGUAUUGUGCAUGCGGUGCAGGCCGGUAUCUUUGUGGAGCGGAUGUUCAAGAGGGCCUACACCGCCGCCAUGCCAGACCAACCUGCCGCGGUUUUAACCUGCCUGAGGGAUGUAGACCGCUGGAGCUUCGACGUGUUCGCCCUGAACUCAGCCAGCUCGGACCACGGGCUCCAAACGCUCUUCUUCGAGCUGAUCACCAGAUACGAGCUCAACAGCCGCUUUAAGAUCCCGAUAUCAUGCCUAACAGAGUUCCUGUCUGCGGUGGAGAGAGGAUACUGCAAACACAACAACCCGUAUCACAACCACAUCCAUGCGGCCGACGUGACGCAGACGCUGCACUGCUUACUCCUGCGCUCAGGACUCGUGCACUGGCUAACAGAACUGGAGGUGCUGGCGUCUUUAUUUGCUGCAGCCAUUCACGACUUCGAACAUACUGGAACUACAAAUAACUUCCACAUCCACACAAAGUCAGAGCUGGCACUGAUCUACAACGACAGAGCCGUACAGGAGAGCCAUCACCUCAGCGCAGCCUUCCACCUGCUGCAGGACGAUCGGAUGAACAUCUUUACUAAUCUGACGCGAGAGGAGUGGAUGGAGCUGCGGUCACUGGUCAUCGAGAUGGUGUUGGCCACUGACAUGUCCUCGCACCUGCUCCAGGUCAAAGCCAUGAAGUCCUGUCUGCAGCAGCAAGAACGCAUCGAGAAGUCAAAAGCUCUGUCCUUGUUACUGCACACGGCUGAUAUCAGUCACCCUUCCAAACCCUGGACUCUUCACUCUCGGUGGACUAGAGCGCUGAUGGAGGAGUUUUUCAGGCAGGUAGGUGAAGGCAGUUGUUGCUGGUUGAUAAAUUUCAAUGCAAACGCUCUCCACACCUCCGAGGCUGGAGCGCUCACUCCAGGGUUUGAUGUCCUGUUGUCCUGGAGCUGGGACAGGGAUGAGGCGAGUCUGGGACAGAGCGUGACUUGGUUUAUGACUUUGUCACAGCCAAACUGCACAGAAGCGCACAUUCAGAGCUGGACACACACCGGGCACCUCUUCACUUCUGGAGAGACGUCACUCACUCGGCAACCCCUCCCACAUGCAGCGGCCACACACAUAGAGGAACAGCGCACCUGCAGCAGACACUCUACAUUCACUCCUACAAAAGCCUGUUUUAAGGCUUGGAACGCAUUAUUUCUUUUUCCAUUCAUUGUAAUGGGAAAAAUCGAUUCAGAUUUCGAACAAAUCGCUUCUCAAACAGCCGUUUGGAACGGAUUGAGGUCGAGAACCGAGGCACCACUGUACUCACAACCUCACAGCACGAGGGUUGUAGGAUCGACUCCAGCACUCUGAGUUCCUCCCACAGUCCAAAAACAUACAGAGGUGACUCACAAUUGUUCUCAGUGACCUGUUCUUGGUGUCAUGAGGGGGCCUUCUGAGCUGGGUACAUUAUUUCUGUACAUACUCUGGCCAGAUGGGGACACUAUGUGCAGACCUGUAUUUAGACAACAAAGAAGAUGCAAUCUCUGCUGUUCAGUGAAAACAGUUCUCUGAUAAAUGCGAUUCACGUGGCUUAAAACCUCACUGUUAUAGCCAUAAUUAAUUGAUAUCCACCGGCCAUUUCCUGCAUCUUGAGCUCAGUUACAAGCGAACCUCCACACUUGCUAGAGAGGUCCACCUCAGUUCAGACAGUUCAGUUAUGUUCACACCUUUUGUCCAACCUUUCACCUUUUGUCCAAGACAAACCCCUCCAAAGUCUCAAGGAUUUAUUUCAUUCUUCUGCCGGGAACAUUCUCCAGUGUCAUUCUUUUUCACUCUUCUUCGCAUCUUCAAACCAUGAAUAGUCAUUAACUUGAUGCUGGUGCUCAAACAGCACAACAGAUUGACAUCCACCAUUUGCACAUUAGCAUAAAUAUGACGCUAAUUAAUUAAUUUGCAAUUGUUGUUAUGAACAUUUGAUCCAUAUAAUCACAAAGCUCUGAGCUGUAAUGGGUUUUUCUCUGAAGAAGCAACACCCUGGCUACACUGUGGCUUGACAACAGCAAUCCAUGGCAUCCUGUCAACAGAGUGGUUCGCUCCAUUAUUACAUCCGUUAUUGUUCUGCCACAUUGUUCAAGUGACAGAAAGAGAUUUCGACAGCUGUGCUGCAGCUGAGAGCACAUGUGACAGAAGUCAUCUUGGAAUCAUUUAGGUGGUGGAGCUAUUGAUAAAGAAAGCAGAGGAAGAAGAGGAAUCCAGGAAGUGGGCAUUUUAAGAAUCGAGUUGAGGGUUUGUAUAUAGUUUGUCCAAGAAAUUUAUGUGACAAUGGCACAUGUCAGGUGUUUAGGAGACAAAGUCAGAGAGGCUAGACUGAGAUGGUUUGGACAUGUAGAGAGGAGAGAGAGCCAGUACAUUGGUAGGAAGAUGUUGAGGUUGGAACUGCCAGGCAGAAGGUGGAGAGGAAGGCCAAAGAGGAGAUUGAUGGAGGUGGUGAAGGAGGACAUGAGGUUUGUAGGUUUGAGAGAAGAGGAAGCAGAGGACAGGGUGAGAAGGAGAAGGAUGAGCCGCUGUAGCCACCCCUGAAGGGAGAAGCCGAAAGAGAAAGAAGAGAUGAAUUCACUCGACAAUGGAUGUUGUGCUACAGGCCUUGCCCCAGUUCCACACUGGUCGUUUCAAUGGGAUUCAUACCUCCUUGUUCCCAUGUCGAGACCAAGCCCACUGCUGGCAUGAAUCCUUGAAUGAAUGUGAAUGUUUUGUACAAUCCAUCCUGUUAUUGUUGGGAAUUCUGACUAGCAUGUUGCUUUGGUGUGUUUUGCUAUGUCUUUUCUUCUUUCCAAAUGUCAGCCUGGACUGCAACACCACCACAUGCUUCGGUCGCCAAUAAAUAAACGGAAAUCAGGUGUUUUAUUGCGCAGAUUUCUUUUUUUUUUUUUUUUUGUGAAGGACGCCGCCAGUGAAAAAUGUGUUUUUGAUUCCCUGGGAAUGUAACAGGACACCUCUGGUGAUCACAAAGUUUCAACCUCUUGACAACAUAAUUGCUUUUUUUUUUUCUCCUUUGGGAUGAUUAUUCUGUCACACAGUUCAACAUGAUAAGCGCAAUUGGGAAACUGCUUCACAAGGCUGUUCAAAAUGGAAACUCUGGAGUCUGACAAAUUUUUCUUGAUGCCAAAUUGUCCAACUGAAAGGCCAGUAAAUUGUCAUGGGUGGGUAUAGACGGUCAAAGAUCAAGAGAAUGAAAUUGUAUCAUGAGUUUAGUCCAUUGCGUAUCUGGACUUUCCCUUUAAUAUAGUUAAUAUAGUCUGGCCAUGGUCAGAUCUUCCAGGCAAGGGCCAAGAGUGUCUCUUUUAGGAGGCAUUCUUGGCACAGCAUCAGAAUAUGUCGCGCUAAAUGAAUCGUGCUUCAACUGAAAGCUUAACAUAGGCCUCAAAAAUCCCUUUAAGAUUUCAUACCUUGGGAGUGAGAUUGUGUUGUCCAGGCAAGUGUCCCACUGCUGAACAAGGCCCAGCUGGGGAAAAUCUCACGGUUGGCCUGGUAACGUCACGGUAGUCCCCUGGAAGAGGAAAGCCUGGCUCUCUUUAGGUGGACUGCUGUCCUGUGUCCUAACGUCUGAUGGCAGUGGGUGGAAAGUGUUGAGUUAUUCAUAAGUGUGAGAUGAAUAUUAACUCAAUAUGAAUUGAGAUUGUUUGUUUUUCAAUGAUUGUAACGCUGAUGGAAGCAUGUCAUGCUUCCACCACUACUUUAACUACCCAAAUAUUUGGGUGUGUUCAUGAAUGAUUUACGUUCAGCUGAUGAAAGAAAUCUUCAGUAGGUUUAAAGAUGAUAGAAAUCACAGUGUCGAAGAGUUGAAAGGAAACUUGAAGCUUUGAGGUUGAUUUUUUUUUUUUUUUAAUCAUCAAAUCUGGGACAGAUCUUACACCCUCCGCUGUGAGACACAUCAGCAGCGCCAGAAAAGGUUGUUUGUAGCUGCUGAAGAAAAUCAUGAAAGGCUGAUCCAGAAAUUUCUCACUUCACGUUGGAUCCAGGUUGGAAAUAUGAUCUCAUCCAGACAAACUAUUGUCAUCCUGAGCCACAUCUGUUGCCGGCUGAAUCAUCUCCUUAGCUAAUCCACUGUCUUCUCUGCGUUGCCCUGAGAAAACAAUAUUGUUACCAGAUGCCUGGACCACUUCCACCUAAAUGAGUCUGCCUGUCUGGGCGGUCAACCUGGUCCCUGAGAGCCGCAGAGCCCUGAAAUCAAAUCCGCUUUUGUCCUCCCUUCACUUGAAAAAUAGACCAGGGAUGCAAACACUAGAACAAGUGAGACUUUCACUCAUUCCCUUUUCUGGCUGAAAAUUCUCCUUGUGUCCAAAACAUAGAUUCACUUCCCAUUCUUUGGAUUCCUUUCCAUCGUGUCAGGUUUUCUCUUCGUGGAUAUUUUGUGAUUUUUUUUUUGCUGUUGACAUCCACAAUAUUCUAGUGAUGCUCACUGAAGCUGAAGUCACUUCAGGAGUCCUUUUGUUUUAAAAGUUGUGUUACUCCUCUUCCUUGGGUUCGGCAUCAUAUUGACUUCAUGUGUGUCAAGCUCCAGGCUUGUGGGCCAUAUCCGGUCCGCCAAGUCAUUUUAUGUGGCCCACAACAGUUAAAAUACUUAGAUGGAACUUCAAACUCGGGAAUGUAAAGUGCACCAAAAACUAGCUUGCCCCAAUGCUUGUUGACGUCGUGACCCACACAGACAAAAGACUACAGAACAAGCAAAUAGAGAUUGAACGUUCCACGCUUGCAAUACAGAUAGACAAAAACCUUUCUUUUGAGCUGAAGUUGACACUUUUUUUCAGCUGAUACUUUGCACAGAUAAUCUAGUGAUUUUUAAGCACUUAUUCAGGAUGCUUUCUGAGGAGCCGUGUGUUGCAACUGAAUACCUCUGUUUUAAAAAUGUUCUCACCAAAGGCUCCUCAAUAAAUAAACACUGUUUUUCUGACUGCAACAUUCAAACCAGCUCACCUACGCAACUGCUUUCUGAGGCACGUUGAACUGUGCAGUUGAAUAUCCCUCGUCUGAUUCUUUCAACUCCAUAAAGUUUUGAUCGAAGAAGUCUAUAACCUUUUUGGAAGUUAUUUUCAGAUGACGUGUGGGAUGGCCUUUAAGAAGUCUUCUCUCUCUGCCUCUUUCAUGGUGAGGGUGAUAGAGAAGCGGAGCUCGGACUGCCCUUCUCGCCGCUGUGCGAUCGAAAUUCCACCCUGGUGGCUGAGUCACAGAUAGGUUUCAUCGACUUUAUCGUAUAUCCUACAUUUUCACUACUGACCGACAUGGCUGAGAAAAUAGUUAUCCC